RNAcentral lists this ribosomal RNA (497 nucleotides) under uncultured bacterium. Its description in RNAcentral is "partial 16S ribosomal RNA". It matches the Rfam family "Bacterial small subunit ribosomal RNA", at positions 38 to 507 of the family's 1533-position model. The record is from RNAcentral.
GAGGAAAGAGGGAGGCGUGCCUAAUACAUGCAAGUCGAGCGAACAGACGAGGAGCUUGCUCCUCUGACGUUAGCGGCGGACGGGUGAGUAACACGUGGAUAACCUACCUAUAAGACUGGGAUAACUUCGGGAAACCGGAGCUAAUACCGGAUAAUAUAUUGACCCGCAUGGUUCCCUCGUGAACGCCGGUUUUGCUGUCACUUCUAGCUGGAUCCGCGCCGCAUUCGCUAGUUGGUAAGGUACCGGCUUACCAAGGCAACGAUGCGUAGCCGACCUGAGAGGGUGAUCGGCCACACUGGAACUGAGACACGGUCCAGACUCCUACGGGAGGCAGCAGUAGGGAAUCGGCCGCAAGGGGCGAAAGCCGGACGGAGCAACGCCGCGUGAGUGAGGAAGGUCUUCGGAUCGUAAAACUCUGUUAUUAGGGAAGAACAAAUGGGGAAGGAACGAGGCACGUCGUGACGGGACCGAAUCAGAAAGCCACGGCUAACUACGUG